Molecule: ribosomal RNA, 468 nt
Filed under: uncultured bacterium
Lineage: Bacteria
Description: partial 16S ribosomal RNA
Rfam family: Bacterial small subunit ribosomal RNA
Source: RNAcentral
GACGAACGCUGGCGGCGUGCUUAACACAUGCAAGUCGAACGGAAAGGCCCUGCUUUUGUGGGGUGCUCGAGUGGCGAACGGGUGAGUAACACGUGAGUAACCUUCCCUUGACUUUGGGAUAACUUCAGGAAACUGGGGCUAAUACCGGAUAGGAGCUCCUGCUGCAUGGUGGGGGUUUGAAAGUUUCGGCGGUUGGGGAUGGACUCGCGGCUUAUCAGCUUGUUGGUGGGGUAGUGGCUUACCAAGGCUUUGACGGGUAGCCGGCCUGAGAGGGUGACCGGCCACAUUGGGACUGAGAUACGGCCCAGACGCCUAAGGGAGGCAGCAGUGGGGAAUAUUGCACAAUGGGCGGAAGCCUGAUGAAGAAACGCCGCGUGCGGGAUGACGGCCUUCGGGUUGUAAACCGCUUUCGCCUGUGACGAAGCGUGAGUGACGGUAAUGGGUAAAGAAGCACCGGCUAACUACGUG